AGAGUGAACGCUGGCGGUAGGCCUAACACAUGCAAGUCGAACGGCAGCACAGUGGUAGCAAUACCAUGGGUGGCGAGUGGCGGACGGGUGAGGAAUACAUCGGAAUCUACCUUUUCGUGGGGGAUAACGUAGGGAAACUUACGCUAAUACCGCAUACGCCCUUCGGGGGAAAGCCGGGGAUCGCAAGACCUGGCGCGGAUAGAUGAGCCGAUGUCGGAUUAGCUAGUUGGUGAGGUAAUGGCUCACCAAGGCGACGAUCCGUAGCUGGUCUGAGAGGAUGAUCAGCCACACUGGAACUGAGACACGGUCCAGACUCCUACGGGAGGCAGCAGUGGGAAUAUGGACAAUGGGCGCAAGCCUGAGUCCAGCCAUACCGCGUGGGUGAAGAAGGCCUUCGGUUGUAAAGUCCCGUUUUGUUAGGAAAG
Molecule: ribosomal RNA, 425 nt
Filed under: uncultured soil bacterium
Lineage: Bacteria
Description: bacterial SSU rRNA
Rfam family: Bacterial small subunit ribosomal RNA
Source: RNAcentral